UUUCAACCUGCCAGUGCCUCUGACCUUCAGACAGCUUUGUUUUUGUGGAACAUAUAGCAAGGCUUGAAAGUUUGCUUUACAGGGGAAACCACCUGGGCAUUGUGCUAGCUCCGAACCCACACACCGUGAAGGAAGACCUCUACUCUUUUGAAGAUAUGCAUUUCCCUGACUCAGGAAUCAUGAGCAAGGAAGCCAACAGGAAAACAGUAGAAUAUCACCCAGCAGAUUCAAACAGCAGGAAAACAGCUUUGCCAAAAAAUAAAUCUUGCCCAAACAUACGUGAAGUAAUGAAUCAGAAUAUACGUCUGAAAGGUAAAAUUCUUUCACUGCUGAAAAAGGAAGUACUAUAGCACGUCUAUUUAACCUACUUCUUACUCAGAGCUAGUAAUAAUCUGUGACAGAUCUGAACAUUUUAAUAUCAUAAAAAUUUUAAAUGAAUUGUAAGAAAAAAUUAAAAGUAAUGGAUACCCACCAAGGGGAUACCAAAUAAUGCAGAAAACAAAAAGGCGUUUACUUCCAGUGUGCCCCCAAAAAUUUUUGGUUUCUUGAUGGCAUACACUGCAAAAAGCCAUCAAUAAGUUACUCUCUUGAUGGGGACUGAAAAUAUUACUUUCUAGAAAGCAGCUGAGGGAACUUUCUUUUUCCUUCUGCUGCUACCUUUGAAGAUCUCUCCUCUUUUUGCUAUUUGCUGUUCCAAAACAACAAGACAAUGACACAGGAUUUCUAAAUCUGUUUCCAUGACAGAUUAUGGUCUGUCAAGCAAGUAGCAAGCAUGUGUUUAAGCUACAUUAAUUUCAAAAGUGAAACACUGCACUUAUUUAAAUUGCUGGUAAAUGACACCGUAGUUCACAACUGUAGCUGUGCUGAGACAUUUAAUGCAAAACAUAUAAAAUUAUCUAACUAAAAAGUGGCACAACUGGCCAGAUAAAUUUAUUUCCUGUACCAUAUGUUUAUAGUGUAAUGUGAAGUUUGCUUAAAUGCAUUCAAUAUCCAUAUAAUAUAGAAGAUUUAGGGCUGGAGAAAGCACUUCUGGGAAAAAUAAAACCCAGCAAUCAAUCAUCUAACUGCAAAUCCUUUCUUUUCUGUGGAUAGGUGGCCUUAGCACAAAUACCCACCAUAACUGGUAUUUAUUCACAUGCCUUUUUCACAUCUCUGAAGUGAAACCUUCCCAGUUUUUUACUUGGUACUCUAAUUAAACCUAUACUAUUCAGGAAGUUUCUGCCUGUUUUUCUAGCCCCUCGGUAGGCUUGGGGAAUAUGUCUGUAUACUUGAACAGGACAAGGUUUUCCACCAUAAUUUUGGGCAAGACAGUAAAAAAGUGACUCUGAAAAUGUCUAUGCAGUUCUUCCUUGAAGCAUUUCCAGCUUCAGGCUUUUUUCCACUGAAGUGGUUAGGACACACCAUGAGGAUCACAAGGUUUAUUAAAUCACAGCCCACAAUUCUUUAUCACUUUCUGCCACUGGCUGAAACACCACAGUGACUGAAAAAAUAACACUGUGCAUUCAUAGAUUCAGGGGAGCCAAUGGGAACAGAUUUACCUUCUGCUUUCCCACAUAAAGGGCUAUGUUUUUGAUGUUGGAUUUUCAUGUACAAAUUCCUAAACUGUCACCUUUUUAAACAGAACUUUUUUAGGUCAUCAUGAAAAGCAGUCAAGGUUGCCACAAAAUUCACACACUGUUUUAUUCCCUUACAAAUUAAAGAGAAGAUAUUUUUUUUCCAUUUUGUCCUUUGACGUCAGGCAUUCUCUGUCCACUGGCAGAAACACACCCACAUGUAUGCCAUAGAAAUAAAACACCUUCCUAUUAUUAUAACUGAUAGUCUCUAUUUAUUAAUUUCACAGGCAAUGCAGCAAAGCAACAAAAAAUUUUCAGACUGAAUAAAAUAUGAUCUGCCCCUAGAGCUUGAGGACUGAAACCUGAUUUGGCAACACUGAUUAUAGUGUUGCCUACUCUAGCCAGUGCCAGCUCUAAAUCUUUAGCUUGUAGUGGAAAAAAAAAUGAUGCCAGAAGGUCCAGCUGAUUGCAACUACCUGGCACAAAGAUUCUGUCCUCUUUCAUCCUUGUUCAACAGCCAGUGCAGCAAAAGCCAGAAAAUUUGAAGAUGUCCCUGCUCAUUGCAGGUGGGUUGGGCUAGAUGAUCUUUAAAGGCCCUUUCCAAACAAACUAGUCCAUGACUCUAUAAUAAAUUGGAUGUUCCAGGGUAAUAGAUAGAUAGAUAGAUAGAUAGAUAGAUAGAUAGAUAGAUAGAAAACAGCAGAAAUAGUCUCCCCUUAGGUGUUAAGCCUCUGCAACAGUACCUCUUCUAACACCUGGACAGUGUGCAGCACUUCAUAUUCUGAAGGCCUGAUAUGUACAGCAAGGCUAACAGAGUGAAAUAUUCAUCUUCAUUAUAAAAAUUAUAUUCUUAAGUAACAGGAAGAGUGGUUUCUAGCUGGUUUGCAUUCCUCAGCUAGCACAGAGGAAAUAUUUGGGCAGUGACCUUAGGUAGAGGGCACACCCACGGAAAAGCAGCACCAGUGCUGCUCACUCCAUUGGUCCAGUGCAAAGGAGGCCUAAGAAGAAAAGCAGAGGGAAGGCUGGAGUUUAUCCCAACUCCAGUGAUUCAUGCAUAACAGAAGAGAUGAUAAACUGACCUGGACAUCAAAUUGUAAACUGAUAUUGGAUAGCAAUACAUCACCCCAAAGGCUUGUUGUCAAACAGUCCCCUUUUAGCAUUAAGCCAUGAAAUGCAUGGGUAAUAGCAUUGAUGUUUACCACUGUUAUUCAUUUUCUAUUGUUGAGCAUAAAACAGCAACUUUUUUUAUUUUUUUAGAAGUACAAAGGCUGAAAAUUAAGACACUGCCUUUUUAUUUUUAUCCUGGCACCACCUUUAACUGGGUUUACUUCUGGUUUGCACCAGUAUAACUAAACAGAAAAUCAGACAAGUAGCUUGAACGAAUAAAUCUCCUUCCCUCUCCCCCAUGAAUGAUCCUCCAUGCAGAGAUUAAA
This 2986-nucleotide long non-coding RNA is filed under the name Corvus moneduloides (New Caledonian crow). RNAcentral's name for it is "lncRNA (ENSCMUG00000018631.1)". The record is from RNAcentral. Lineage: Eukaryota; Metazoa; Chordata; Aves; Passeriformes; Corvidae.